This is a long non-coding RNA of Pangasianodon hypophthalmus (striped catfish), 371 nucleotides long. RefSeq lists it as uncharacterized. The transcript is spliced from 3 exons. The record is from RefSeq and is a predicted model, not a curated record. NCBI's taxonomy places the organism in Eukaryota, Metazoa, Chordata, Actinopteri, Siluriformes, Pangasiidae.
CUCUGAACCCUGUGACUUUGACUGAGAACUUUUCUUCUUAAUGAAAGUGGUUCAGUAGACUGUAGUCAUUAGACGUAUUGAUGGUGACAGAAAGGGUCGGGGUGUGAGGCAUGGCCCAUCCACACGAUGGAUACGUUCCUGCUUCAUGACAUGCAGCAAGACAGAUGUGCUCAUUUUCUCCAGCAUGGGUGGAGAGGUGUGCCCUUCCUGCCAGGGGCGAGCUGGAGAAACAAAAGGAUAGUGGAUUGUGCCAGACUUCUCUCUAGACGGGGCAGAUUGACAUCGCUUCUGCUGCCGUUUUUCACACCAGCCCAUCUGGGCAGUCAGCCUGGACCCCAAAGGCUCAGGCCAGGCAGUUUGAUUGGUUAUGU